CACAUUCGCUUUAAACAUUUCAAUUGCAAUGCCAGGAAAAGAGAGAUGCACCAAUUUGUGCAUUAAGUGUUACAAAUUUAAAAUACAAAAUAGUUCAAAAUGACUCAGGCUCAUGUUCGUAAACUUCUAAACCAAAUAACCACGAACCCAUUUUCAGAAUUAAAAAUUCAGAUACAUAAAACACAUCUGACCCAGCUGAAUACAAAAGGCUUAAGAAAAAUCAACUGUCAGUAUGUUUGCCCUUUCGCCCCGCCACUGAAGCAGGGAUCCUUCUAAUUCACAUUCUAACAUAACCUUCUUUCUGUAUUAUCACUACUUUGUGUCCCUUAUUGUUUCAAAGGGAGCAAAUGUCUCCCCAACGCCCACCAAAGAAUGAUAUAUGCUCUCCUUAUUUUUCAAACAAUGCGGGGCUCAACUAUACUUCUGGAAGACGAUACAAAACAAAGGUAGACACUGGAAUGGAACAGAAGGAUAAAGAGAGCAUAAAAAACUCACACUUCAGGGAAUAUUCGCGAUACUAGAAAACCUACAAAAUAAGUUUACUGUCAAGACUGCACAGCUAGCCUCUGAAGAUGCUCGAAGAAGACUUGAAGGCUCACAUCAUCUGUAAAUAUCACAUCAGAUCCAGCAGCCAUCUCAUGGGCGUUGUUGUAAUUAGCUGAUGGAUUCAAUUUUGCCAACAAGAACCUUGCCUACUCAGGCACGGCAUGAAUAAUGAAAUCAAAGUGAGUUUCAGAUAAGAAUAUCAGUUUCCAAUGAACUGGUGCAGUAAACCAUUUCAAUUUUAUUAAAUGAAGUGAAUUCAAUAACCAAAUUCAGUAAUUGUUUUGAACAAAGUAGUCAAACAUCCAUUUGUUCAGUAGUAUAACGAUAAAAAUGCCAAUCAAGAACUAUGACUUGCAACAUGGAAUAUGUAACCAAAGGUGUAUGGAAUCAUUUUUUUGUUCACAUCCAUUUACUUCUGAAGCAAAAAUACAGAUAGAGAACAGGAGUAUUACUGCAGAAACCUUAAGCACAAAAACAAAAAUAAAUUUACCUGAGAUCCAUGCUGAUCACAGACCACCAUUCUAGGAAUUGGGAAACGGUCCCUAAUGAUCAUUUGGGCAUCAUCUUGAGGAGCUUGCAAUAGCUGUGCAAAUGCCUGGUGUUCUGGUUGAUUCUGGUAACCCAUGUUACGCCACUGUGCUAUUGUCAUCCCAUGGAAGACGACCAAACUAAAAUAUGAAUCCAGUAAGAGAAUUCGGUCAGCUGCAAUAGAAGCCACAUCCAACAAUGCAGGUUGAGGCAGUGAGUUAAAUGAAUAUGAUAUUAGUGAUGGCUGAAUCAUGACAGCAGCAUUGGCGAUGUUUUCUCGGUUUAACAACAUGCGGAAAUAAGCUGUCUCAUCUGGACUGUUGUUAAAGACCUGUACAAACUGAGACCGUCGGAGAUUAAACAUAAACUGAGGGAACAAGGAAAAACAAGGGUUCAAUGCAAAAGAUGAUGGAUCAUCCUUCCGAUAGUCACCAAAUUUGGAACAGAGCCGAAUCAGGUUCCGGUCUAACCACCGAGUGGCAUCAAAUCCUUCCUCUGUCUCCAUUUUCAGGGAUGUUAUUCUUGCCAUUACCACAGCAGCAGUCUCUUGGUCAAAACCUUGUACUAACUCCUCUGAGCUAACAGCACUAUCUAUCCAUCUUCUUGUAACUGUUGUGACCCGAAGCAAUGUAUGACCUUCAGGGUUCUGAUAACUUGUAAGGAACUGAAUGUAUAACUGUGGAUUUACAGUUCCUGGAGUAUUUGACCUCUCACUGGAUGAAAGAUCAAAUAAGACAGUCAAACAAGUGCUCUUGUCAAGACCACACAUCUUCCAAGCGGUAGUAUUUCCCUCCCCCACAACUGUAUCAGCAACAUUAGGUCCUUUCUUUUCCAUAGACGUGCAAGGUCCAAUGAUCCCUUGAACUUUAAUGUCCUUCGAACAGUUAAUCUCAAGCAUUCCAUUGAAACAAAGACCAAGAGACUGUUCUCCGUCUUCAAAUAUAUGCUUGAAAGAGUCCUUAAAUACAGAAUGCCCAAAACUUUCAGAUAGAACAACAAGACCACCAGUCCUUUCAACUGCAACUUUCAUUUCAGCAAUCCCAACCUGAUCAAGUGCAGAUGCAAAAAGGUUUAAAACAUGACCCUGGCUAACAAGCUGCUUCGCAAGGUUGUCAUAGAAUUUAACUGCUUUUUUAAAAUAUGGUGCUGCAUCCUUGUCAAGAUCUUUAUGGGAACGCACUGGAUCUGACAAAUCUUUUGAUACAAUCGUGCCAAGUCCUUCUGUGCAUGGACCACCAACCAAAGCUAUAAUCCUGGCGCCAGUCCCAGGCAAACAAGCUCCAAGCAAUCCUGCCGCCACACUUAAGGCCACUCCUGUGCACCUUGAAGCUCGAUUUCCAGGAGCAACCGGCCAUUGAUCCGUUUGCAACUCAUCCAAAAGAGAAUUCAGGGUAUAUUCGCACUCGGAUGCGGGCAAUAAGAAGCGUGCAACGCCGGUAUUUGGAAACCCAUUUUGCAUUCCUUUCUGUUGAUAUCCAGUAGGGGCUCUCCUGCCCGAAACGCCAAUUCCCAACUGCUCCAUAAUCUGAUCUUUCGAAAUCUCCUUGCUGCCUCUAAAAACAUAAACCUUCGACAUAUCUGAAAAUCCCAAUUCAUGAACCCGUGCCUGCGUCCCAAACGAAACGAAUCCAACAAGCGCAUUAUCCGGCAACAACCCAAUCGCGCGUUUGAGCGCCAAUUUCACGAACCCAAACUCCUCCUCGAUCAUGCACGUAUCGAGAACGAAUAAGAAAACAGGUGAAGCAGACGGUGCAGGGGCCGCAUUCAUGGGAUUAUUGGGAUUGACAUUAGGGUCAGAAAGCGUGUACUGCACAGUCGUGUAUUGAGGGUAUAGCUCAGCUGGGAGAUUAGUCUCGGAGAUCAGGGAGUAGUGAGGAGGAAAAUGAUUGCGCAGGAAACAAAAGGGGCAGAUCCAGAUCUUGGCAGUAAAGUCGACGCGCGAGAAGGAAUUGAGGAUUGCGGAGCAAGUCUUGCAGCGGAGAGGCGUGUAAGGAAGGGUAGGGAUAUCAGGGUGGUGGCGGAUCAGAGAAAUGGAGGCGGCGAGUGGGAUCACGCACUUGCUGGCUUCGACUUUGGUGCGUGGCCAGACAUUCCAUGUCAUUCGAACUCCGUCAAUCCCUUCCGGAUCUGUGUUGGCCAUCUCCGACAUGGCUGAUUAUUCGAAGAAACGAAAAAAAUAAAAAAUAAAAAAAGUUCCUGCGUGUGGAUUUCGGCGAAGGAGAAAUUGAAAAAUUGAAGAAAAUUGGCAAAUUGGAGGGAGUGGCGACCCCUGAAGAAAAGGGGAAGAGAGGGGUCACCGCAAAAGAUAGAGAGAGAGGAUGAUGAGGAGAGGAGAUGUUGAAAAAUUGAAGAAAAUUGGCAAAUUGGAGGGAGUGGCGACCCCUGAAGAAAAGGGGAAGAGAGGGGUCACCGCAAAAGAUAGAGAGAGAGGAUGAUGAGGAGAGGAGAUGUUGGGUAUGAAGAGAGUUUCAAAGGGAGAAAACGUCCGACUUGGGCGUUAAAAACUGGUGCUGAAUUGUUGGGACGGAAGAAUUUUGUGUGUGUGUCUGCAAAUCUUAUUUCCGAAAAAUAAUAUAGAAAUAAAUAAUAGGCUAAUAAUACUCUUUUU
This 3682-nucleotide unclassified non-coding RNA is filed under the name Hevea brasiliensis (rubber tree). The record is from RNAcentral. Lineage: Eukaryota; Viridiplantae; Streptophyta; Magnoliopsida; Malpighiales; Euphorbiaceae.